This is a long non-coding RNA of Cuculus canorus (common cuckoo), 1410 nucleotides long. RefSeq lists it as uncharacterized. Lineage: Eukaryota; Metazoa; Chordata; Aves; Cuculiformes; Cuculidae. The record is from RefSeq and is a predicted model, not a curated record. The transcript has 3 exons.
GCAAACAAAAAGUAAAAUUGCAGCAGGAGCGCUGAGAUCUCUCAGUCGGGCUUUCCUGUUCUCACGUGGAUCUCCAGGAAAAGUGGUGGAGGUUUAUUUUCCAAGCGCCGUUUCCGCGGGAGCCGCCGCCCCGCGCCGCGGUGCCGCUCCGGUUCAGCGCCGCGGCCGCCCGCACGGGGCCCGGUUUUGUUUUAAAGCCCGAGAAGGGAUCAGCGCGCAAAGCCUCAUUUCAGCCGAUCAACCUGGAGAGGGAGGGAGGAGGGGUGGAGAUACGUGCUACUGGAAUAAAAUAAGAUCAAGCGGAAAUAAAUAAAUAAAUAAAUAAAUGUAGCGCUAAAGAUCUCUGUGCCUGCCUCCCUCCCUCCCUGCCUGCCUCCCCUCCCCCGAGCCGGGAAGCUCCGCUCCUGCAGGAACGCCUGAAACUGUUUCAGAUCAAGGAUGUGUCCACAUUGCUCCCAACUCAGUCUUGUUGCUCAAAAGUUGAAAGCCGAGGAGUGAGUAGCUGCCACCGAAAGGCUGCAGCCUUCAGUAAGAAAUAACUAUUCUCUGUCCCAGCAUUUCAGUUUGUGGUGUCACCAAGGCCUGCAAAAAGCACCGCACACCAGAUCACAGCCUUCGCCUCUUCAAGCCUCAGAAAAGGAAUGAACAACGUGCAAUCCUUAACACGCCGGUGUACUCAGUGAGGAGCUUAUUAGAGCCUCUCUCCUGUAGAUUAGCUCUCCCAGCAAGGUAGGCACUGACGUCACCCUCAGCCUCCACCCAGCAAUCUGCCCCUGACCUCAGCAUCACCAACGCUAGCAGAGAAGCUCCAACAACUCUCAGCCUUGAGGACAGCUGGCCUUGCAGAGCCCUGACUAAGACAGGAAACGAACUCAGAAAUUGUAGAUGGGAAUCACGCAGAAAUCUGGGUGCGUAAGUGCUGCCACAAAUAAAUGUGCAUUUAGGUCAGGGUAAAAGCUGUUUUCUGUUUGUAACCCAGAGCAGCUACAUAUUAGAAUUACUGUUCAAUGUAAGUGUUGCAGAUCUGCAGAAACUAUUCUACAUUGCUUAGGUACUAAUAUUCCCAACAGUCACAUUAGUUGAAACGUUUUCUCAUAUUAAGAGAAUUUUUUUGCUAGUAACCAAACCAGCUGACUUUUUUUAAAUAAACUUUUUCCCCUAAGAAACCUGUUAAAUAUUCAAUCUAGUUUCUUUCGCGAUGCAAAAUUUUGAAACAUUUUAAGUACAAAAUAUUUUUUGUUAUCACACAUUCAUGUCUACCAUUCCAAAAAACUCACAACUCUGAUAAUCCAUCUGACAACACAGUCAAUCAAAAGAUCCAUCCUACAGCCGUUUCCAAAGAAACGAACGCAUAGCCAGGAAGGCAGAAUGCUUCAGCUGGAAGGAAACCAAAUAAAAGAACACAACAAC